AAGAUGAAGGCGAUGAACCGGUUCUUCGAAGACGGCGACAAGGUCAAGGUGACGUUGAAGUUCCGCGGCCGCGAAAUGGCCCACCAGGAACUUGGCAUGAAGCUUCUGCUUCAGGUCAAGGAAGACACGCAGACGAUCGCCAAGGUCGAGGCAGAGCCGAAGCUCGAAGGCCGUCAGAUGAUGAUGGUGCUUGCACCCCGGACGUGACCGACGGGCCGGCCGUCCGGCCGGCUUGGGUGACGACCCAUGAAAUGUGCAUGAGCCGCCGACCUGGCGGCUUUUUGCAUUCUGGCACAGACGCCGAGAUCUCAGGAAUCCGGU
This 321-nucleotide unclassified non-coding RNA is filed under the name Rhizobium subbaraonis. RNAcentral describes it as "Long range pseudoknot". The record is from RNAcentral. Lineage: Bacteria; Pseudomonadati; Pseudomonadota; Alphaproteobacteria; Hyphomicrobiales; Rhizobiaceae.